RNAcentral lists this ribosomal RNA (493 nucleotides) under uncultured bacterium. RNAcentral's name for it is "bacterial SSU rRNA". It matches the Rfam family "Bacterial small subunit ribosomal RNA", at positions 903 to 1397 of the family's 1533-position model. The record is from RNAcentral.
AAAUGAAUUGACGGGGACCCGCACAAGCAGCGGAGCAUGUGGUUUAAUUCGAAGCAACGCGAAAAACCUUACCAAGGCUUGACAUCGUAUGACCGCCAUAGAGAUAUGGAAUUCCCUUCGGGGACAUAUAGACAGGUGGUGCAUGGUUGUCGUCAGCUCGUGUCGUGAGAUGUUGGGUUAAGUCCCGCAACGAGCGCAACCCUUAUCAGUAGUUGCCAAUAUUAAGUUAGGAACUCUACUGAGACUGCCGUGGACAACACGGAGGAAGGUGGGGAUGACGUCAAAUCAUCAUGCCCCUUACGCCUUGGGCUACACACGUGCUACAAUGGCUAUUACAAAGAGCAGCGAGACGGUAACGUUAAGCGAAUCUCAGAAAGAUAGUCCCAGUUCGGAUUGUGGGCUGCAACCCGCCCACAUGAAGUCGGAGUUGCUAGUAAUCCCGAAUCAGCAUGUCGGGGUGAAUGCGUUCCCGGGUCUUGCACACACCGCCCGU